UACGAAGGGGGCUAGCGUUGUUCGGAUUUACUGGGCGUAAAGCGCGUGUAGGCGGGUCGUUAAGUUGGGGGUGAAAUCCCGAGGCUCAACCUCGGAACUGCCUUCAAAACUGGCGACCUGGAGCAAGAUAGAGGCAAGUGGAAUUGCGAGUGUAGAGGUGAAAUUCGUAGAUAUUCGCAGGAACACCAGUGGCGAAGGCGACUUGCUGGAUCUUUGCUGACGCUGAGACGCGAAAGCGUGGGGAG
Molecule: ribosomal RNA, 245 nt
Filed under: uncultured bacterium
Lineage: Bacteria
Description: partial 16S ribosomal RNA
Rfam family: Bacterial small subunit ribosomal RNA
Source: RNAcentral